CCAGAGCAGAGCUGGGGAAGGAUAGGAGAUCAGGGUCUGUGGUAGGGGCAGGUCCCCCUCCCAGGAGCCAGCGUCAGGCCUUGAGAGGUUUGGUGAACAACAGAGCAGAGCUAGGGAGAACAAGCGAGGAAAGGACCAACAAGGUGGAAGGGGUGGAGGGAAGGCACAGGCCAUACUGGACCGGCCUCAGGCUGGGGCCACUGCACACCCCUUCUUACCCUCUCCCACUUUUGUUCCUCUCCCACCCCUAACAUCCCCCUAGUAAAGAUGCAAAAAAGGAAGUAGAGGAUACUGGCAUGUACAAUGGAAAAGCAGAAGAAAGCCAAGGAGGUGGAGGCACUUACGGUGCAGCUGAUGUCCCGGUCGGAGAGAAGAUAAGAGGUGGAUCUGGAAGGGCACGAGAAUAAUAGGUGACACAGGCAAAAAAAACAGGCCCUCCAGGCGCAGACUCUCUCACCCAACACCAGACACCCAACCCCAUCCGGGUGGGAAAAGCGUAGGCAGGACCAGAUGCAGGACUAAGAGAAUGCACCUGGAUCACACAGGAGCGAGGAUUUUCCCCCAGGUGCCCAAUACCUCACCUCAAGAUGCUGCAGCAGCCCCUGACUCCAGGCUCCCCUGUGGCUGCCACUCUAAUCGCCAUUCAUACAGAAACAGCCCCUUGAGCCACAGAACACUUCUGCUCAGGAACGUGCAACAGCACCUGGCUCCUACUACACUAAGCUCAAACCCAGCCGUGUGGACCUCUGCGAUCCAAACCCUCCCUACCUGGCCAGCCAUCUUUCCAUGUCAGCCCUCAUGAACUCUUUCAGGUCAGUGUGGGCAGCUGACUGUCCCCCAUCUCCAUGCCUUUGCUCCCUGCACCCCCGGUCUGGAAUGUCCCUCCCAAGGGCCUGGCCACACCACAUACCUCCUGCAAAAGCACCUCUGCUACUACAGUUCCACUACUUCUUCCCCUCUCUGGGCCGGUACCGCAUGAGCAGUCAGUAAGAAGAGGUCAUGAUGCUAGCUGACACAACAGAGCACUGACUGCAUGCGGGACACUGAGUGCUAAGCACUUUACCUGCACGACCUCAUUUAAUCCUGACCAAAAGCUUGGCGGUGGGAAUUGUCUCCAUUUUAUGGAUGAAGAAAUGAAGGCUCAGAGGCAGACAGAUUGUGAGGUGAUUGCCCAAGGACAGCAGGAGAGGCAACAUUCCCAUUAGGCUUCCUUAUGCCACAGACGACACUUUAACCAUUACCCGGCACUGCCUUUCUUACAGUACCACGGACAGCAACACUUCCCUGUUUCCCCAAUUAGUCCCACUUCCCCACAAAGAUAAUAGGCUCUAUGAAGGCACAGUCCAGGCCUUCUACUUCUCAGUUUCCCUUCUAAAGGAAGGAUCUUGGCCAGGAAUUCCAUGUGCCUGUGACUGGGCUCAGCUGGACCUAAGUAAAUUCUUGUAACAGACCUGAGAGGUAGACAUGAGUCUCUUUAUAAAGAUGAAGAAACUGGGACUCAAGGAGUUAGCCGGUUCACAGCCUAACACAAGCACCCAUGUCCUUUCCACUAUAACACACUACUAGGCACUAAGAUCGCUUUGUCUGCUUACUGA
Non-coding RNA from Chlorocebus sabaeus (green monkey), 1595 nucleotides. The record is from RefSeq and is a predicted model, not a curated record. Lineage: Eukaryota; Metazoa; Chordata; Mammalia; Primates; Cercopithecidae.